GAUUAACGCUAGCGGUAUGCAUAAUACAUGCAAGUCGAACGGGCAGCAAUGUCAGUGGCAAACGGGUGCGUAAUACAUAUUUAAUUUACCCCUUAGCGAGGGAUAACUGAUCGAAAGAUUAGCUAAUACCUCAUAGGAGACAGAAUCAUAUGAUUUUGUCUUUAAAGUUGCGUUUGCAACACUUUGGGAUAAGAGUGUGUCUUAUCAGAUAGUUGGUGAGGUAAUGGCUCACCAAGUCAAUGACGAGUAGCUAUACUGAGAGGUAGAAUAGCCACAAUGGGACUGAGACACGGCCCAUACUCCUACGGGAGGCAGCAGUAGGGAAUUUUUCACAAUGGGCGAAAGCCUGAUGGAGCAAUACCGCGUGAACGAUGAAGGUUUUAGGAUUGUAAAGUUCUUUUAUUAGGGAAGAAUGAUUCAAAUAGGAAAUGAUUUGAAAAUGACUGUACCUGAUGAAUAAGUAACGGCAAACUUCGUGCCAGCAGCCGCGGUAAUACGAAGGUUACAAGCGUUAUCCGGAUUAACUGGGUGUAAAGGGAUGCGUAGGCGGAUAAACAAGUCUGGCGUUAAAUGCUAUUGCUCAAAAAUAGUAUGCGUUGGAAACUGUUUUUCUUAGAGUUAGACAGAGAGUUUUAGAACUCCAUAUGGAGCGGUGGAAUGCGUAGAUAUAUGGAAGAAUACCUGUGGUGAAGACGAAAACUUAGGUCUAUACUGACGCUUAGGCUCGAAAGUGUGGGGAGCAAAUAGGAUUAGAUACCCUAGUAGUCCACACUGUAAACGAUGAUCAUUUUAUAUCUGGACUAAUGUCUGGGUGUAGUAGCUAACGCGUUAAAUGAUCCACCUGAGUAGUACAUUCGCAAGAAUGAAACUCAAACCGGAAUUGACGGGGACCUGCACAAAUGGUGGAGCAUGUUGUUUAAUUCGACAGUACACGCUGAACCUUACCAAGACUUGACAUCUCCCGCAAAGUUAUAGAAAUAUAAUGGAGGCUAACGGGAUGACAGGUGAUGCAUGGUUGUCGUCAGUUCGUGUCGUGAGAUGUUGGGUUAAGUCCCGCAACGAACGCAACCCCUAUCGCUAGUUAAUUUAUCUAACGAGACUGCUAACGCAAGUUAGAGGAAGGUGGGGACGACGUCAAAUCAUCAUGUCCCUUAUGUCUUGGGCUACAAACGUGCUACAAUGGCUAUUACAAACCGUUACCAAACCGCAAGGUGGAGUUAAUCGGAAAAAGAUAGUCUCAGUUCGGAUCGAGGGCUGCAAUUCGCCCUCGUGAAGUUGGAAUCAUUAGUAAUCACGAAUCAGACAUGUCGUGGUGAAUACGUUCUCAGGUCUUGUACACACCGCCCGUCGCACUAUGAGAGCCGUUAAUACUUGAAAGCAUUUAGCUAACCGUAAGGAGGCGAAUGUCUAGGGUAGGAAUGGUGAUUGGAGUU
RNAcentral lists this ribosomal RNA (1433 nucleotides) under uncultured Mollicutes bacterium. Its description in RNAcentral is "bacterial SSU rRNA". It matches the Rfam family "Bacterial small subunit ribosomal RNA". The record is from RNAcentral. Lineage: Bacteria; Bacillati; Mycoplasmatota; Mollicutes.